UACGGAGGGUGCAAGCGUUGUUCGGAAUUACUGGGCGUAAAGGGCGCGUAGGCGGUUGUGCAAGUCAGGUGUGAAAUCCUCCGGCUUAACCGGAGAACUGCAUUUGAAACUGCAUGACUCGAGUACAGAAGAGGGAAACGGAAUUCCCGGUGUAGAGGUGAAAUUCGUAGAUAUCGGGAGGAACACCAGUGGCGAAGGCGGUUUCCUGGUCUGAUACUGACGCUGAGGCGCGAAAGCGUGGGGAGCAAACAGG
RNAcentral lists this ribosomal RNA (253 nucleotides) under uncultured bacterium. RNAcentral describes it as "partial 16S ribosomal RNA". It matches the Rfam family "Bacterial small subunit ribosomal RNA", at positions 524 to 776 of the family's 1533-position model. The record is from RNAcentral.